RNAcentral lists this ribosomal RNA (229 nucleotides) under uncultured bacterium. Its description in RNAcentral is "partial 16S ribosomal RNA". It matches the Rfam family "Bacterial small subunit ribosomal RNA", at positions 568 to 796 of the family's 1533-position model. The record is from RNAcentral.
UGCGCAGGCGGAAUGAUUAGUCAGUGGUGAAAUCCUACAGCUCAACUGUAGAACUGCCAUUGAUACUGUCAUUCUUGAGUACAGUGGAAGUGGGCGGAAUGUAUCAUGUAGCGGUGAAAUGCAUAGAUAUGAUACAGAACACCGAUAGCGAAAGCAGCUCACUAUACUGUAACUCACGCUCAGGCACGAAAGCGUGGGGAGCAAACAGGAUUAGAUACCCUGGUAGUCC